Molecule: non-coding RNA, 158 nt
Filed under: Phycisphaerales bacterium
Lineage: Bacteria; Pseudomonadati; Planctomycetota; Phycisphaerae; Phycisphaerales
Description: 6S RNA
Rfam family: 6S / SsrS RNA
About the family: E. coli 6S RNA was the first non coding RNA to be sequenced, but its function was unknown until recently.
Source: RNAcentral
AUGCCUCUGCCGUGUUCGGCGGGCGCGACGUGAGAGAAGAACCGAUACACCCGUUUCGGGAAGCGAAAGUCCAGGACGCUCCGGCGGCCGGCUGCUGCCCACUUUGAAAUAACGGGUUCUUUCUCCAUACCGCGUCACCGGCACUUGGUGGAGGCUUU